AGGGAGCUCUGGAUCUUGGGCUGUGUCCCCUGGCACCCUGGGCUCUGGGACCUGCGCCGCUGGAAUCGCGCUCCGGGGGCCACGCAGCCCCCA
Molecule: microRNA precursor, 93 nt
Filed under: Canis lupus familiaris (dog)
Lineage: Eukaryota; Metazoa; Chordata; Mammalia; Carnivora; Canidae
Also listed under: 1 other name
Description: mir-8799 microRNA precursor family
Rfam family: mir-8799 microRNA precursor family
Source: Rfam by way of RNAcentral